GUACACAAAUGGUAACUAUUUUCACUGUAGUUGAAAACAUAAUGCCAAGAAAAUGUGUAAUUUUCCUUUCUAAAAUGGGGACAAAACAGUUUGGAUACAUUUGUCACUUUUUUUUUUCCUGCAUAAUGACUCACCUAUUUGUUCUAAUUUUGGUGACUUUUAAAUUUUGCAGAAAUUUCGGAGUGCUUCAGUUGGGGCUGAGGAGUACAUGUAUGACCAGACAUCAAGUGGCACAUUUCAAUACACCCUGGAAGCCACCAAAUCUCUCCGUCAGAAGCAGGGGGAGGGCCCCAUGACCUACCUCAACAAGGGACAGUUCUAUGCCAUCACGCUCAGCGAGACGGGGGACAACAAGUGCUUCCGACACCCCAUCAGCAAAGUCAGGGUAAGGGCCUCAUUUCUCCAAUAAAGCACAGAGGGAUCAGGUGAAAGCAGUGACUACCUGCCAGCCUUGUGGAAGGGCAUGGAAAAAAAUCCCAAAAUAAAUAAUUCUAGAACAAAUGUCAGAGAGUUGGGGCAAGAGAACUUAUUGGCUUGCAGUUUAUCAUCUUAAUCAGUAACUAAUAAACCCCAGGGAAGGGACGUGGUUGGAACAUGCUUUCUGACUGUAUCCAAGGAAUUUCCCCAGCUUCAUUCAUUGCCUAUGUGCUACCUAGUUGUUGUCGUCGUUGUUUUCAAUCAAAUGAUGUGCAGUUUUCAGGUAAGCAGCUGUAAGUCAGAGCGUAUGUGUGGGCAGGAAAGAGCUGGGCUUUCUUCUGAAAAGGAGGGUGCAGUUCAUUCUGCGUCCCUGGGCCCUCCGCAGCUUUGCUAAAAGACUUCUGCAGCCUGGCACUUACUCAGGAGUCAAGAGGUGGGCAUGAUAUGAUCCCUACCAGGAGUGACUUGGAGGAAUUUUCACAUUCACGAGUUAUUAGUUCUAUUUGUGGGACAUGAAACUGCCUUGGAAGCCUGCCAGCUUCUGGCAUUCUCGCUACUGCCAAGAAGGGAGGGAACUGGUAAUCCCUGUCGACUGAAAAGGAAAAUUAUAGCAGAGCUCUCAAAAGAGGUUGAAGGAGUUUCGUGCCCUGUUGUAAAAUGAUUUAUGCUGCUGUGUGCGUGGUGUGCACUCCGAAGCUCUUUCCUCUGCAUACUGAGAAAGGAGCGCCGUGCUGUGCCGAGCCCAGUGAGUUUACCCCAACCCAGAUUCCCAGGCAAAGGUAACCCCUGAGGUAGAAGAGAAAAGAGUGUCCAGGCGCCUGCUGGCCGGUUUGCCUGUUACUAGCUUUUAGGUAAAAUCAUUGCAGUGCUGCUUUCUUGAAUCAACCCGGUUUUACGGCUUUGUUUCCAGGAGAAAGACAAGGAAGAAUUGCUGCUCAUUUGUCCAGCAGGCCUUUCUCCCUCCAAGGCCAUCCCAGUUCCAGAUCGGAGUGACAGGAGGCAGGAGGCAGGGCGGUUGAGAGUGAGGGGAAAGACAGGAAGGAUGUGGGGCUAACGACCCACCUGAGGCUGAACCCGUGGCAGGUGGAAAAGUGCUGAGUUUGCCCUCCAGAGGAGUUAGUAUGUUCCGACCCUGAGGUCAAGGCUACGGUGGAGGUAUGCCGUCAGCCGCAGCAGCAUCAUCGUCGUCAUCAUCCCCAUCAUCACGACAACCAGGGCCACAAUGUGACAGCUAGUCUUUAUUGAGUGUAUCUUCUGUGUGCUGGACACUGUGUUGAGCACUGUACAUCUAG
Molecule: long non-coding RNA, 1709 nt
Organism: Delphinapterus leucas (beluga whale)
Lineage: Eukaryota; Metazoa; Chordata; Mammalia; Artiodactyla; Monodontidae
Source: Ensembl